This 116-nucleotide ribosomal RNA is filed under the name Clostridioides difficile M120. RNAcentral's name for it is "CDIFFM120_00232". The record is from RNAcentral. Lineage: Bacteria; Bacillati; Bacillota; Clostridia; Peptostreptococcales; Peptostreptococcaceae.
AAGUUAAGCUCUCUAGCGCUGAUGGUACUUGGUGGGAAACUGCCUGGGAGAGUAGGACGUAGCCACGUAAUUUUUUUAUUAUAAUAAAUUUAGAAUUUAACCUAUAUAGUUUAACU